GAGAGUGGGUAGUCCGCACGAGCGCACCUCGACCUUUAAUUGCCAUCAUUAAGUUGGGCACUCUAUAGGGACUGCCGGUGAUAAGCCGGAGGAAGGUGGGGAUGACGUCAAGUCCUCAUGGCCCUUAUGGGCUGGGCUACACACGUGCUACAAUGGCGCUGACAGAGGGCAGCUAGCUCGCGAGAGUAAGCUAAUCCCAAAAAGGCGCCUCAGUUCAGAUUGCACUCUGCAACUCGAGUGCAUGAAGUUGGAAUCGCUAUUAAUCGUGGAUCAGCAUGCCACGGUGAAUACGUUCCCGGGCCUUGUACACACCGCCCGUCACACCAUGGGAAUUGGCUUUACCCGAAGGUAGUGUGCUAACCGCAAGGAGGCAGCUAACCACGGUAAGGUCAGUAACUGGGGUGAAGUCGUAACAAGGUAGCCGUACGGGAACCUGCGGCUGGAUCACCUCCUUCCU
RNAcentral lists this ribosomal RNA (457 nucleotides) under uncultured Alphaproteobacteria bacterium. Its description in RNAcentral is "bacterial SSU rRNA". It matches the Rfam family "Bacterial small subunit ribosomal RNA", at positions 1072 to 1533 of the family's 1533-position model. Lineage: Bacteria; Pseudomonadati; Pseudomonadota; Alphaproteobacteria. The record is from RNAcentral.